RNAcentral lists this transfer RNA (67 nucleotides) under Marmota monax (woodchuck). RNAcentral describes it as "tRNA.Ala". Lineage: Eukaryota; Metazoa; Chordata; Mammalia; Rodentia; Sciuridae. The record is from RNAcentral.
GGUUAUGGCUCAGCGGUAGAGCGCUUGCCUAGCACGAGCAAGGCACUGGGUUUAAUCCUCAGCACCA